This 369-nucleotide ribosomal RNA is filed under the name Cordyceps farinosa. RNAcentral describes it as "eukaryotic LSU rRNA". The stretch from base 1 to 154 matches the Rfam family "5.8S ribosomal RNA". The record is from RNAcentral. Lineage: Eukaryota; Fungi; Ascomycota; Sordariomycetes; Hypocreales; Cordycipitaceae.
ACUUUCAACCAACGGAUCUCUUAGUUUUGGCCUCGAUGAAGAACGCAGCGAAAUGCGAUAAGUAAUGUGAAUUGCAGAAUUCAGUGAAUCAUCGAAUCUUUGAACGCACAUUGCGCCCGCCAGCAUUCUGGCGGGCAUGCCUGUUCGAGCGUCAUUUCAACCCUCGACUUCCCUUUGGGGAAAUCGGCGUUGGGGACCGGCCGUAUACCGCCGGCCCCGAAAUGAAGUGGCGGCCCGUCCGCGGCGACCUCUGCGUAGUAAUCCAACUCGCACCGGAACCCCGACGUGGCCACGCCUUAAAACCCCCGACUUCUGAACAUUGACCUCUGAUCUUGUAGGUAUACCCGAUGAACUUAAGAUAUCAAUAAA